CCGUCGGGAUCGUAACGCUGGCGGACCUCGAGGAAUUUGGCCAGGUUUGUGACUCGAGAGCCCAUGUCCUCGAACAUCGCGUUUUUGUUCUUCCCCCAGUGUGGCCUGCCUUUGUAUUUCUUGAGCAGCAUUUGCUCGAUCUCAUCCGUCGCGUCCUGGUCCAGCCGGGGCGUGUUUUGCCGGCGGUCUCUGAAGUAGAGCAGCUCGAAUGCAACUGAGUCCUCGGGCUCGGCGAGGUAGGCCGUGGAUCCUUUGAUGAAUCUGAGCUGUGCUCCGCCAUAGAUAUUUGCACCGCAGAGCUUGGUUGGGUCCAUUCCAUCGCGGAUCUUCUUUAUGUCUUGGAUGGCUUCGUUGAUCCUGGAGAGUGGGAUUGCUAGGGAUGUCUGGAAGUAGAAUUGUCCAGGAACGUCGGGGUCCCAGUAGCAUGUUAGCCUCUCCCCGGAUGCUGAUCGUGUGUUGUUUAGUGCAGUGUUUUGGCAGCCUCCAGCGGUUUGGAGCUGGUGAUUAAAUCCCACGACUGGAUAUCCGCGAAAGGUAUUGCUCCUGUCAUUCACCAGGCCAUCUCCGCUCGAGACUCGGUUCUCAACUCCGUUUAGUGAUUGUUGGCAGACGAGGGAAGCGUUCAUCUGGGACAUGAAGUUCUCCUCUACGUAAAAGAAUCACGAUUUCAGCGUAAGGUGAGAACUCUGAUUUUUAUGAGAUGUUGGAGCUUACCUCGGACUCUAGACUGUCUUACGUUUGUCUCUGGAGCAGGAUCAUUGCCAGCGUUCCUUCCCUCGCCAGGGGUACUUGCCGAGACCUUGUUGUCUACCCUCAGCAGGAUCUUCUUCUGAGAGAUGUACCAGUUGAUAUCCCCAAACGCAUACCUGCUUGCGAAUCCAGCAACGUCAUUCUCGAGGGUGCUGUCGUCGCGGGCCUGCUUGGUGAUGGAGCGCUUGAACAUCGGCUCCACGUCGAGCGUGACCGUGGAUAUGGCUCCAAGGACGCCAAUAGACAGCUUGGCUGCAUUCAG
RNAcentral lists this long non-coding RNA (1012 nucleotides) under Selaginella moellendorffii. RNAcentral's name for it is "long non-coding RNA (SMOE_LNC001779)". Lineage: Eukaryota; Viridiplantae; Streptophyta; Lycopodiopsida; Selaginellales; Selaginellaceae. The record is from RNAcentral.